Molecule: ribosomal RNA, 253 nt
Filed under: uncultured bacterium
Lineage: Bacteria
Description: partial 16S ribosomal RNA
Rfam family: Bacterial small subunit ribosomal RNA
Source: RNAcentral
UACGUAGGGUGCAAGCGUUAAUCGGAAUUACUGGGCGUAAAGCGUGCGCAGGCGGUGAUGUAAGACAGUUGUGAAAUCCCCGGGCUUAACCUGGGAACUGCAUUGGUGACUGCAUUGCUGGAGUAUGGCAGAGGGGGGUGGAAUUCCACGUGUAGCAGUGAAAUGCGUAGAGAUGUGGAGGAACACCGAUGGCGAAGGCAGCCCCCUGGGCCAAUACUGACGCUCAUGCACGAAAGCGUGGGGAGCAAACAGG